AAAUAUGAAGGCGGGCUGGAACCUCUCGGGGUUACAGCCUUGCUGAAUUAUUCACCCUUGUCUUUUGCGUACUUCUUGUUUCCUCGGUGGGUUCGCCCACCACUAGGACAAACAUAAACCUUUUGUAAUUGCAAUCAGCGUCGGUAACAAAUUAAUAAUUACAACUUUCAACAACGGAUCUCUUGGUUCUGGCAUCGAUGAAGAACGCAGCGAAAUGCGAUAAGUAGUGUGAAUUGCAGAAUUCAGUGAAUCAUCGAAUCUUUGAACGCACAUUGCGCCCUUUGGUAUUCCAAAGGGCAUGCCUGUUCGAGCGUCAUUUGUACCCUCAAGCUUUGCUUGGUGUUGGGCGUCUUGUCUCUAGCUUUGCUGGAGACUCGCCUUAAAGUAAUUGGCAGCCGGCCUACUGGUUUCGGAGCGCAGCACAAGUCGCACUCUCUAUCAGCAAAGGUCUAGCAUCCAUUAAGCCUUUUUUUUCAACUUUUGACCUCGGAUCAGGUAGGGAUACCCGCUGAACUUAAGCAUAUCAAUAAGCGGAGGAAAUG
RNAcentral lists this ribosomal RNA (542 nucleotides) under uncultured organism. RNAcentral's name for it is "eukaryotic LSU rRNA". The stretch from base 163 to 316 matches the Rfam family "5.8S ribosomal RNA". The record is from RNAcentral.